GAAAACCCUAGUAUAUGAUAUUAAUUGGGACAAGUUUGGGCCAAUGGAAAGGUGGUGACGGCUGACUCAUUUUCACUCACCAAAAUUGGAAAAAACAAAGAAAAUAAAGGGAAAAAUGAAGAAACAAAAAGCAAAAAUAUUUCUUUCUUCCUUGUAAGUUCCUUCACUCUCUCACCCAUGAUCUCUUCUCUCACAUACAACUUCAUCCACCACCCACACCCAUCCUCAUCUCCC
RNAcentral lists this long non-coding RNA (234 nucleotides) under Lathyrus oleraceus (garden pea). RNAcentral describes it as "Pisum sativum (pea) long non-coding RNA (PSAT_LNC034907)". Lineage: Eukaryota; Viridiplantae; Streptophyta; Magnoliopsida; Fabales; Fabaceae. The record is from RNAcentral.